GGCUGUUGCAAAUUGUGUCAUUACAUAAUCUGUCCAGCAAAAGGUGCUCCGAUGGCAUUGUUUACAAUGCUGUCAAGCAUGGUUGGGACCCCCAUCACCUCUUGAUCACAACAGCUACAAGAGACAGAGGGAAAGUGACCAGCUGACAUUCAUUUUCAGCCAGAGUGGUCAUUUUACAAUGACGAGAAAAAUGGUUGCUUUGCUGCCAGCAUGUUGGGGCCAUAGAAGAUGAGGAAGUCUAUUUUAAGCAAACACUAAGCAAUUCAACACAGCAGCUGCCAAUCCAAGCAACUGUAGUAUGAUGGCAGUGAGACAUGCAUUGUUGUUUAUAUUUAUACUUAUUUAUAAUAAAGUUCAUGUUUAAACUGUAAAACAUCAAGUUUCAAUUACAUUUCUCUGUCAUAAGGGUUUAAUAAUGAAAUAUGUUAAGGAAUCAUU
Molecule: long non-coding RNA, 438 nt
Organism: Thalassophryne amazonica
Lineage: Eukaryota; Metazoa; Chordata; Actinopteri; Batrachoidiformes; Batrachoididae
Exons: 3
Source: RefSeq, a predicted model, not a curated record